RNAcentral lists this ribosomal RNA (893 nucleotides) under Klebsiella pneumoniae. RNAcentral describes it as "bacterial SSU rRNA". It matches the Rfam family "Bacterial small subunit ribosomal RNA", at positions 35 to 919 of the family's 1533-position model. The record is from RNAcentral. Lineage: Bacteria; Pseudomonadati; Pseudomonadota; Gammaproteobacteria; Enterobacterales; Enterobacteriaceae.
GCUGGCGGCAGGCCUAACACAUGCAAGUCGAGCGGUAGCACAGAGAGCUUGCUCUCGGGUGACGAGCGGCGGACGGGUGAGUAAUGUCUGGGAAACUGCCUGAUGGAGGGGGAUAACUACUGGAAACGGUAGCUAAUACCGCAUAACGUCGCAAGACCAAAGUGGGGGACCUUCGGGCCUCAUGCCAUCAGAUGUGCCCAGAUGGGAUUAGCUAGUAGGUGGGGUAACGGCUCACCUAGGCGACGAUCCCUAGCUGGUCUGAGAGGAUGACCAGCCACACUGGAACUGAGACACGGUCCAGACUCCUACGGGAGGCAGCAGUGGGGAAUAUUGCACAAUGGGCGCAAGCCUGAUGCAGCCAUGCCGCGUGUGUGAAGAAGGCCUUCGGGUUGUAAAGCACUUUCAGCGGGGAGGAAGGCGGUAAGGUUAAUAACCUUGUCGAUUGACGUUACCCGCAGAAGAAGCACCGGCUAACUCCGUGCCAGCAGCCGCGGUAAUACGGAGGGUGCAAGCGUUAAUCGGAAUUACUGGGCGUAAAGCGCACGCAGGCGGUCUGUCAAGUCGGAUGUGAAAUCCCCGGGCUCAACCUGGGAACUGCAUUCGAAACUGGCAGGCUAGAGUCUUGUAGAGGGGGGUAGAAUUCCAGGUGUAGCGGUGAAAUGCGUAGAGAUCUGGAGGAAUACCGGUGGCGAAGGCGGCCCCCUGGACAAAGACUGACGCUCAGGUGCGAAAGCGUGGGGAGCAAACAGGAUUAGAUACCCUGGUAGUCCACGCCGUAAACGAUGUCGAUUUGGAGGUUGUGCCCUUGAGGCGUGGCUUCCGGAGCUAACGCGUUAAAUCGACCGCCUGGGGAGUACGGCCGCAAGGUUAAAACUCAAAUGAAUUGACGGGGG